This 230-nucleotide ribosomal RNA is filed under the name uncultured bacterium. Its description in RNAcentral is "partial 16S ribosomal RNA". It matches the Rfam family "Bacterial small subunit ribosomal RNA", at positions 335 to 554 of the family's 1533-position model. The record is from RNAcentral.
ACUCCUACGGGAGGCAGCAGUGGGAAUAUUGGACAAUGGGGGAACCGUAGCAUCAGCCAUGCCGCGUGUGUGAAGAAGGCCUUAUGGUUGUAAAGCACUUUAAGCGAGGAAGGAGGCUACUGAGACUAAUACUCUUCGGAUAGUGGACGUUACUCGCAGAAUAAGCACCGGCUAACUCUGUGCCAGGCAGCCGCGGUAAUACAAGGGUGCAGAGCGUUAAUCGGAUUUAC